RNAcentral lists this ribosomal RNA (390 nucleotides) under uncultured marine archaeon. Its description in RNAcentral is "bacterial SSU rRNA". It matches the Rfam family "Archaeal small subunit ribosomal RNA", at positions 169 to 559 of the family's 1478-position model. The record is from RNAcentral.
CCUGGAAUCGUUUAUGUUCCAAAUGAUUUAUCGCCGUAGGAUGGGACUGCGGCCUAUCAGUUUGUUGGUGAGGUAAUGGCCCACCAAGACUAUUACAGGUACGGGCUCUGAGAGGAGUAGCCCGGAGAUGGGUACUGAGACACGGACCCAGGCCCUAUGGGGCGCAGCAGGCGAGAAAACUUUGCAAUGUGCGAAAGCACGAUAAGGUUAAUCCGAGUGGUUUGUGCUAAACGAACCUUUUGACAGUCCUAGGAACACUGUUGAAUAAGGGGUGGGCAGGUUCUGGUGUCAGCCGCCGCGGUAAAACCAGCACCUCAAGUGGUCAGGAUGAUUAUUGGGCCUAAGGCAUCCGUAGCCGGCUCUGUAAGUUUUCGGUUAAAUCUGUACGCA